This 253-nucleotide ribosomal RNA is filed under the name uncultured bacterium. RNAcentral's name for it is "partial 16S ribosomal RNA". It matches the Rfam family "Bacterial small subunit ribosomal RNA", at positions 524 to 776 of the family's 1533-position model. The record is from RNAcentral.
UACGGAGGGAGCUAGCGUUGUUCGGAAUUACUGGGCGUAAAGCGCGCGUAGGCGGCUUUGUAAGUUAGAGGUGAAAGCCCGGAGCUCAACUCCGGAACUACCUUUAAGACUGCAUCGCUUGAAUCCAGGAGAGGUGAGUGGAAUUCCGAGUGUAGAGGUGAAAUUCGUAGAUAUUCGGAAGAACACCAGUGGCGAAGGCGGCUCACUGGACUGGUAUUGACGCUGAGGUGCGAAAGCGUGGGGAGCAAACAGG